RNAcentral lists this ribosomal RNA (312 nucleotides) under uncultured bacterium. Its description in RNAcentral is "bacterial SSU rRNA". It matches the Rfam family "Bacterial small subunit ribosomal RNA", at positions 29 to 369 of the family's 1533-position model. The record is from RNAcentral.
AACGAACGCUGGCGGCAUGCCUAACACAUGCAAGUCGAACGAAGUCUUCGGACUUAGUGGCGCACGGGUGCGUAACGCGUGGGAAUCUGCCCUUGGGUGCGGAAUAACUUCUCGAAAGGGAUGCUAAUACCGCAUAAUGUCGUAAGACCAAAGAUUUAUCGCCCAAGGAUGAGCCCGCGUAAGAUUAGCUAGUUGGUGGGUAAAAGCCUACCAAGGCGACGAUCUUUAGCUGGUCUGAGAGGAUGAUCAGCCACACUGGGACUGAGACACGGCCCAGACUCCUACGGGAGGCAACAGUGGGGAAUAUUGGAC